Molecule: ribosomal RNA, 387 nt
Filed under: Stramenopiles sp. MAST-1B
Lineage: Eukaryota
Description: partial small subunit ribosomal RNA
Rfam family: Eukaryotic small subunit ribosomal RNA
Source: RNAcentral
AUUCCAGCUCCAAUAGCGUAUAUUAAAGUUGUUGCAGUUAAAAAGCUCGUAGUUGGAUUUCUGGUAGGAGCGACCGGUCCGCCCUGUUAAGGGUGUGUACUAGCGUUGUCUCUGGCCAUCCUUGGGGGAACUGCGCGGGGAGACUUGCGUUAGGGAACCCAUCGUUUACUGUGAAAAAAUUAGAGUGUUUAAAGCAGGCUUAUGCCGUUGAAUACAUUAGCAUGGAAUAAUAAGAUAGGACCGCGUGGUCGUCUUGUUGGUUUGCACCGCGAGGUAAUGAUUAAUAGGUACAGUUGGGGGUAUUCGUAUUUAAUUGUCAGAGGUGAAAUUCUUGGAUUUAUGAAAGACGAACUUCUGCGAAAGCAUUUACCAAGGAUGUUUUCAUUA